RNAcentral lists this ribosomal RNA (240 nucleotides) under uncultured bacterium. RNAcentral describes it as "partial 16S ribosomal RNA". It matches the Rfam family "Bacterial small subunit ribosomal RNA", at positions 15 to 249 of the family's 1533-position model. The record is from RNAcentral.
GAUCAUGGCUCAGGAUGAACGCUAGCGGCAGGCCUAACACAUGCAAGUCGAGGGGCAGCACGGUGUAGCAAUACACUGGUGGCGACCGGCGCACGGGUGCGUAACGCGUAUGCAACCCUACCCAUAACAGGGGGAUAACACUGAGAAAUUGGUACUAAUACCCCAUAACAUCAGGGACCGGCAUCGGUUCUGGUUGAAAACUCCGGUGGUUAUGGAUGGGCAUGCGUUGUAUUAGCUGGG